UUAGAUUUUAUUUAUUAAUAAUUUAUAUUUUUUUGUAAAGUAUUAAAAAUAAUUAUAAAAUAUAAAGUUUUAGUAUUGUUUAAAGAAAAAAUAAUUUUAAUAAUAGUUUAAUAGUAUUGUAAAAGAAAAUUGAAAUAAUUUGAAAAAAUCAUAUUAUAAAAGAAAAUUUAAUUUAUUGUACCUUGUGUAUCAGCGUUUAUUAAAUAAAAAAUAUUAAUAAAUAUUUUUCUCGAUUUUAAAAGAGUUAAUAUAAUAUAAAAGUUAAUGUGAUAAAAUUAUUUUAAAUAUUAUAUUAGAAAUGAAAUGUUAUUCGUUUUUAAAGGUAUCUAGUUUUUCAAGAAAUAAAUUUAAUUUAGAAAUUAUAAAUUUAUUUUAAAAAUUUUUUAAUAAAAUAAUUUAUAAUUUUAAUAUUUUAUGGGAUAAGCUAUAAAAUAAAUUUUUAAAAAUAAUAAAUAAAUUUAAUAAAUAUAUGCUUAGAAUUAGCAAUUGUUAAUAAUUAUGUUAUAAUUUAUUUUAUAAAUAAAAUUAUUUAUUAAAUUUUAAUUAUUUAUUGAAAUAUUAAUUUUAAUUAUUAAAAUUAAGUAAUAAUGAUAAAAUUAGUAUAUCAUAUUGUAAAAAUAAAUUUUAAUGAUAAGUUUAAAUAAAG
RNAcentral lists this ribosomal RNA (646 nucleotides) under Drosophila paulistorum. RNAcentral describes it as "partial 16S ribosomal RNA". Lineage: Eukaryota; Metazoa; Arthropoda; Insecta; Diptera; Drosophilidae. The record is from RNAcentral.